RNAcentral lists this ribosomal RNA (271 nucleotides) under Pseudomonas sp. MAB1. Its description in RNAcentral is "partial 16S ribosomal RNA". It matches the Rfam family "Bacterial small subunit ribosomal RNA", at positions 1183 to 1454 of the family's 1533-position model. Lineage: Bacteria; Pseudomonadati; Pseudomonadota; Gammaproteobacteria; Pseudomonadales; Pseudomonadaceae. The record is from RNAcentral.
CGUCAAGUCAUCAUGGCCCUUACGACUAGGGCUACACACGUGCUACAAUGGUCGGUACAGAGGGAAGCCAAGCCGCGAGGUGGAGCUAAUCCCACAAAACCGAUCGUAGUCCGGAUCGGAGUCUGCAACUCGACUGCGUGAAGUCGGAAUCGCUAGUAAUCGCGAAUCAGAAUGUCGCGGUGAAUACGUUCCCGGGCCUUGUACACACCGCCCGUCACACCAUGGGAGUGGGUUGCAAAAGAAGUAGGUAGUCUAACUUCGGGAGGACGGU